This 5525-nucleotide unclassified non-coding RNA is filed under the name Lytechinus variegatus (green sea urchin). Its description in RNAcentral is "uncharacterized protein C8orf48 homolog, transcript variant X1". The record is from RNAcentral. Lineage: Eukaryota; Metazoa; Echinodermata; Echinoidea; Temnopleuroida; Toxopneustidae.
ACGGUAACUUCGUGGGAAAGUUUGAACCAGUCAAAUUUUUUUUUCAGCGAAAUAUUCUAUUAGAUUGGUAAAUUCAUCAAGACUAAUACAUAGAGUAUGUUUUAUUCUAAGGCAGGGAGAGGUGGAGAUAGCAGCAGCAGCAGCACACAAAGAUCCUUCCAUACUGCAAACAGUAGCUUAGAAUCUGAAGAUGAGAUCAGAACCAUCAUUGCCUCUUCGUCAGACACAUCAGAGAUACCAUCACUAGUACUAGGUCAAAGGUCAUACUCAUCUGGAUGGCUGCAGUCAUCAAGUACAGGCAAAGAAGAUUAUGAAAGUCAUUAUUCAACAGCAAAGUCUUCAUUUGAUUCCAGUUAUAGAUCAGAUACAUUCUACACCGCUACAACUCAUAGUGAAAGAAAUUAUAGCUCCUCUUUGUACAGCAGUGAAUUUGAAUCAGAUGGAUCAUUGGCCACAGAUAACAUUGUGAACCAUGACUUUAAGAAUGAGAAGGAAGCUGAGAGAUGUUUCUUGAAAGCCAAGCUUAAACUACUGAAAAGAGAGAAAGAAGAGGUCAACGUCGAACAAGAAAGGGCUGAAGAAUUAGCACCAGAGCAAAACAAGUUUGUCAAAAUGCAGAUUUUGAAUCUACUACACAAACAAAAGAAAGCUUUAGAGCCUUCAAGAAACUCGGACAAGAUGAAAGAGAAGAAAAGAUCAAAGCAAAAGAGACUUGUUUCUCCUCCAUUGAUGCUAAAUGGAAAGGUUGAGGAACUGAAGAUUCAAAAUUUGUUACAUAAAAUGAAAAGGGCAUCUGAAGCCCCAGUCCAUGAUGUUGAUCAAUGUGAGAACUGCAGGAAAGCAAAAGAGUUGGUUGUUGAAAGAGAAUUCGUAAAGACAAAACACAGACAUGUCUACAACCAACUAACAGAAGAGAGAUAUAGGCAACAUAUCAUUAACCAUGAUCCGCUCAGUGAGAUUGGUAAUUUAGCAUCUGCAUUGCCGAAACUCAGCAGUGAUCCACAGAAGGUUUGGGAACAGCUCAUCAACAACGGUAUUACAUAAAACCAUCAUAGUUGAAAACCCCAAAAUACCUCCUUAACAAAUUGUUUAUGUUUACUGCAAAAUAGUCUAAAAUGCAGUUAUUUUUUUUGUAUGUUUAGGGACCCGUUGCAUAAACUUUUGCCAUAAAAAUCUGAAUAUAACUUUCAACGGCAUAAUUUGUUUACCAGAGUUUUUUAUGGCAAAAGUUUUAAGCAACGGAUUCCAGUAGUCUAAAAUACAGUAAUGUUUAUUUCUAUUAAGUUUGUUGGCAGUCACAUAUUUCCCAGCAAAUAAUUAUGUGAAGAGAUGCAUAAUGAUUAGGGCUAUUAACUGUAUGAGGAAAAUAUCUUCAGUAGAUAAUUUUGGCUCCAUGAUAUAUCACUUAUUAUUACCUACAAGGCAUUUUGGGAGAUAAAUAAAAUCAUAUUUCGCUCGCUACUUCCAAUCCGAGACCAACGAGUUAAACAUUUGCCAUUGCCCUCCCUGGAACCAAUGCGUUGUAGAUUUCUUCACAUUAAGUGUAUGUGCACACCGUGCGUGAUGCUCGACUGCAAGGUAACAAUUUACAUCACAAUUGCUUAUUAAGGGUUACUUGGCUAAGUUUGUGAAUUACCUGAAUUCAGAGGUAGUGAUUAGCAAACAGGCCUAUAAAUCGAUAGCUUGAAUUACACAUUAUACAGCCAUAGUUAAUAUUAUGUAAUUGUCCUAGUCAAUCUGCAAGGCAAUGACUUUCGUUACGACAAGAUUCUUUGCAAUUACUAUUCUGAAGGUUCUUGAGUUUCCAUCCACAUUAUAUUUGGAGAUUAUUUAAAUUAUGUUUUUUCUGCCAUGUUUGAGAAAGAGAUUUUGAUCCAAAUUCCCUUUCAACAUUCCAUGACUUUCUUUGAGGAAUUUAUUCCUGAUCAGGACUAAAUUCAUUUCUUUGUAUUUUUGUAUUUACUACAUAAUACAGUUCUGUCAUACUUUUUUUAAUCACUUUUGCAAGAAAAGAAGAAAGGCAAUCUGAACUAUCAUUCUCUUUGCAACCAAAACCUUGAGGCCCAGCUGGUUAUAGUUUCUGUAGGGAUCCGAUGAUACUGCGUGAUGCAAAGAUUUCUGGCUGACAGACCAACAAAAACCUCAAGGACAUAUAACAUAUAAAGUAGAGGCAUUUGCCUUCUCAAGGACCCUGUAUAAAAUUACAUCAUUGUGACAUGCGAGAUUCUCAAGAUUAUCUUAUUUUAGAUGGAGCUUAUCCUUUUUAUAUUUUAAUUUCACCUCCUUCAUCAGGUUAGGUAAGAGUAAGUUAAAAGAGCUCACCUUUUCAUCUUGUACAUCUGUCUCUGCAAUAAUUUUUGUGGCUUGACUAGAUAAGAAAGCCCUAACUGAAUGCAUUUGUCCAUAUUCAAGCUUCUUACAUUUAGUUUUGAUAUACAGCUGAUGAACUAAAAAGAUGGAUGCUUUGUUGAAGCAUGGAGGGUGGUCUUUGGAGCUGAUUUAUUGACUACAGCCUUCAAAAAAUAUCUUUAAAAAACCCUGCUCGUCAAUUGAUGCUCAUCAUAUUGAAACUUCUUAAAUCAAACUUGUAUUGUGCAAAAACUUGUCUAAAUUCCCACUACAGACAAGAAAUUCUUCCUUUGAGAAUGUUAAAGAGGUCAUCUGGUGACCAAAGAGUCUUGUAAGUGUCAUCAUUCAUUUUACAAAUAAUGUUGCCAUUCUUUGUGGACACACUCUUUACAGUGUUCGCCUUCUUUGCUGCCAUGAGGAUGGAGUACCUGACUGUUGUAAGGUACUCGUUUAUAAAGACACCUUUACGGGCAUCUUUCCCUUUUAAUUUAAAUCUGCUGUCACACAGUUUGUUUCUUUUCUUCAUUGUCGUGAACCUCAUGAUAACUUGGCUUGGUCUGCCUUGGCUUAUGGUUGGGAAUCCCAGGCGAUGACAGGUAGAGAUAUCGCCUUCUAAAAUCUUGACACCUGCUGUAUCUGCCACCAUGACCAUCUUUCUUGUAGCCAAACGGCACGCGCUUACACUCAAACCAAAUGGGAUUCUAAAAGCAGUCUUAUGCUUAAAUGCCUCAUCCAUAAUAACUUGGUAAUACCCAUAGGCACCCUUCAAAGAUUCUAAAAAUUCUUUGAUUCUAGGUAAUGAGAAUGAAUCACGAAUGGUUUUAGAAUGCAGCUUGCAGUAGUCUAUACACAUUCGUAAUGAACCAUCCUUCCUUUUAACCAACACUAUUGGACUAGCAGAGGGCUAAUACUUAUCUGCAUCUUUAUCCUUAUUAUCAAUAGGAGUGUCUAUAAAAAAAUUUAAGAUGUUAACACCAAUGAUUACAGGUGUUGUUGCCAUUCCCCGUUUGAAAUCUUGUUUUACGAAGAAAGAAAGAUGAGAAAAUGUCCUUAGAAACUUCAAAAUCUUGUAAAGGAAUUUGUACAUUACCAACAAUUGGAAGUUCAGUUCCAUUUAUGUCUACAAUUUGUAAAUUCAUGAGUAUCUAAAUGGAGUAACAUGGAUCUUGUGAGCAAGAAAUCUGUUAAAGUAUACUUCACUAAUUAAUGAAGUCUCUGUACCAGUCUCUAAAAGACACGAGGUUGGGGUUUCAAAUAAAUCAAUCAAUACCUUUGGGCUUUUACCAACCAAAUUUUCCCAAAUAUCCACGCCCUGAAUGCCAAGUAAAGCCUGGGCCGUAGCCUGGAUAUUCUCAUCUUUCCUCACCUGACCUACAACAGUGGGGGAGGUAGCCGUUUCCCAGGCCUUUGCCUCCCAUUCAUUAAAAAAACUGCCUAUAGCCCAGACAAUCUAUGGAAAUAUGUCCUGCCUCCUGACACUUAUAGCAAAUUAUAGAUGGACAUGUUCGUGUUGAAUGACUAGUUUCUUUACAAUUUCCACAAACCUUAGUUUUAUUAGUUUAAACUAAUAUGUCUACGGUAUUCUGAAUCUUAUCAAGUGUAGAGAGCAGCAUGGAAUCAGUGGCUGGCUAAUUGUGAGAACACUUGCUCGAGUCUGUGCCUCUAAAACAUAUCAAACCUCUAUUUCCUGGACUGCUCAUCUAGAGCUCAAGGAAUCUAAUUCCCUUAGUAACUGAUGAGCCUCUUCCAUUUCUUCAAAUGUGUCUACUGUGUGAGAGAGUUGUAAACAUUUAAUUUCUAAUCUUACUGACACACACCGCGCACCAGCUACGAACUGGAAAAUGAGAGCCUCUUCUGUAAGUCCCCACAGAGAGGAAGUUUGAGUUGCAUUCCUAACUUUAUUGCCGUAUACAGGAAAAUGAUGUAAAUCGUGAAACUGAUAUGAUCAAGUCAAGAAAUCUUAAGUAUUUUUUGGUCACGUCGGGAUCACCAGUUUGAUAACAUGGCGCAUAAGUGCACCCUAAUUCAAAAAUUUUAUACCAACUCCAAAAGCAUGCAUUAACUUGCUGCAAUUUUGUAGCCAUUUUUGCAUCCGGUUUGUAUCUGUUUUGGAGCCAUUUAUCGUCUUAGACUUCUCUAAAAAGAGAGAAAAAAGCGGGUGGCUGAAGAGGAUUUGCUCACUCCGCUUGCCUGUCCCUGGAAUGACUACUUCCAUCAUGCCUGUUUUAUUUGUUGACCUGUGAAUAACCAGCACCCUUUUGGAUUGUAGGAUUUGAUAGUUUUUGUCUAUCAAAUUAUUAUAGUGCAUACACCAUUCCUCUAGAGAAAACUCAUGUCAUGCCAUCGUCUUGAAAUCAGAUCCGAUUUCAAAACCUGUUUUAUUUGUUGACCUGUGAAUAACCAGCACCCUUUUGGAUUGUAGGAUUUGAUAGUUUUUGUCUAUCAAAUUAUUAUAGUGCAUACACCAUUCCUCUAGAGAAAACUCAUGUCGUAACAUCGCUUUGAAAUCAGAUCCGAAGGUAAUACAAAAAAUUAGUACACAACUCAACUGGUCUAUCGUUUGGUCUAGCAAGUGAAUCGAUCAGUGAAAAAAGUCAGAUGUGUAACACCCUGGUAAUGCUAUUGUACCAAGGAACAAGGAAUACUAUUUCCUCGAGACUCUAUCCUGGAAUAUUAAAUCCAAGUGAAAGAACAUGAUGCCAAAACACGAGAUAUGCUUAAUAACUGUAUGAAACCGCCAUCAUAAAACAAUAUCAGAUAUAUGCCAGAGGAUACCUUCAUAACAAGAUAUUUAUAUUUCUGCUUAUCCAUAUAUCGACCAAUAAGUCCAACUGCCUAUGCAACUCUUUUUAGGCUAAAUAUAAACAAAUAACAUAAUGUAUUAGUAUACAUGCAGGAGAAAUGCCAGUAGGAAACGAAAGGUAAAGGAAAGAGAAGUAUAGAGAAUAAAAUGAUUGAUGUAAUCAACAAUGAGAAUUCUUUGUCCAUCUCCUUGUUAUCACAAUACGAGUCAGUGCUGCUUAAAUAUUAAAUAUUGGAGGCGGAUUUGCAUUUUUUUUUUAAUAAUGUUAUCAUACCACUGCAAUCCUUUGGUAAUUAUCAAUCAAGUUAAGUCAGGAAGGUAUAUUAGAAACGUGAACUGGUUUGAUGUUUCUGGAUUUCAUCACAGUAGCCAU